This 491-nucleotide ribosomal RNA is filed under the name uncultured bacterium. RNAcentral describes it as "bacterial SSU rRNA". It matches the Rfam family "Bacterial small subunit ribosomal RNA", at positions 21 to 507 of the family's 1533-position model. The record is from RNAcentral.
GGCUCAGAUUGAACGCUGGCGGCAUGCUUUACACAUGCAAGUCGAACGGUAACAGGUCUUUCGGGAUGCUGACGAGUGGCGAACGGGUGAGUAAUGUAUCGGAACGUGCCCAGUAGUGGGGGAUAACUACUCGAAAGAGUGGCUAAUACCGCAUGAGAUCUCUGGAUGAAAGCGGGGGACCGUAAGGCCUCGCGCUACUGGAGCGGCCGAUAUCAGAUUAGGUUGUUGGUGAGGUAAUGGCUCACCAAGCCGACGAUCUGUAGCUGGUCUGAGAGGACGACCAGCCACACUGGGACUGAGACACGGCCCAGACUCCUACGGGAGGCAGCAGUGGGGAAUUUUGGACAAUGGGCGCAAGCCUGAUCCAGCAAUGCCGCGUGCAGGACGAAGGCCUUCGGGUUGUAAACUGCUUUUGUACGGAACGAAAAGCCUUCUUCUAAUACAGGAGGGUCAUGACGGUACCGUAAGAAUAAGCACCGGCUAACUACGUG